RNAcentral lists this ribosomal RNA (355 nucleotides) under uncultured bacterium. RNAcentral describes it as "bacterial SSU rRNA". It matches the Rfam family "Bacterial small subunit ribosomal RNA", at positions 527 to 881 of the family's 1533-position model. The record is from RNAcentral.
GUAGGGGGCAAGCGUUAUCCGGAUUUACUGGGUGUAAAGGGAGCGUAGACGGCCGUGCAAGUCUGAUGUGAAAGGCUGGGGCUCAACCCCGGGACUGCAUUGGAAACUGUAUGGCUGGAGUGCCGGAGAGGUAAGCGGAAUUCCUAGUGUAGCGGUGAAAUGCGUAGAUAUUAGGAGGAACACCAGUGGCGAAGGCGGCUUACUGGACGGUAACUGACGUUGAGGCUCGAAAGCGUGGGGAGCAAACAGGAUUAGAUACCCUGGUAGUCCACGCCGUAAACGAUGACUACUAGGUGUCGGGUAGCAAAGCUAUUCGGUGCCGCAGCAAACGCAAUAAGUAGUCCACCUGGGGAGU